Molecule: long non-coding RNA, 277 nt
Filed under: Fragaria vesca (wild strawberry)
Lineage: Eukaryota; Viridiplantae; Streptophyta; Magnoliopsida; Rosales; Rosaceae
Description: long non-coding RNA (FVES_LNC001419)
Source: RNAcentral
UGGAUGAUGCAAGUGCGGGUGAGAGUGAGUGCAGAACAUGGUCCCAAGGUCAGAUUGGGUCAUCCCCUGAACAUGACAGAUAUAGCAAUUUUAGCAGUGAGCACUCUUCUGAUUUUGGGGAGGGUGAAAGAGGGAGAGUGAGACAAAUUUUUCAGGAAUGGAUGAACUGUGGUGCGACCGAAUGUGCAUCAAAUGUUUCUCAUAUGAAUAACAGUUCAAGGGCAGAGUUACUUGGUGAAACUGAACAGGAGAGAGUGAGAAUUAUAAGGGAGUGGGU